CUGGGCACAUGGUCACCCAACUGGAGACUCCAUUUUUCAUCUUUCCUUGCAGUGUGGGGAUGUGAGGCUGGAAAUGGAAUAAGACAGUAACCCAGCCUCAACCAGAGAUGAAGCCAACACUGUAGGAAUGGUGCAAAAACAAGUUGGAAGUCACAUGGGGUGCCCUGUGGAGCAGAGCCACCCCACUCACCUGACUACAUUCCUCUGGACUAUUAGAUGGGAAAACUGGAGCCCAAAGGAUGGAAAUACUGAACCCAUGGGCUCUGUCACUAGACUGCAUCCCAG
This 285-nucleotide long non-coding RNA is filed under the name Homo sapiens (human). Its description in RNAcentral is "HSALNT0292595". The record is from RNAcentral. Lineage: Eukaryota; Metazoa; Chordata; Mammalia; Primates; Hominidae.